CGACUCUCGGCAACGGAUAUCUUGGCUCUCGCAUCGAUGAAGAACGUAGCGAAAUGCGAUACUUGGUGUGAAUUGCAGAAUCCCGUGAACCAUCGAGUUUUUGAACGCAAGUUGCGCCCGAAGCCUUUGGCCAGGGCACGUCUGCCUGGGCGUCACGCAAU
RNAcentral lists this ribosomal RNA (161 nucleotides) under Amaranthus hybridus (smooth pigweed). RNAcentral's name for it is "5.8S ribosomal RNA". It matches the Rfam family "5.8S ribosomal RNA". Rfam says of the family: 5.8S ribosomal RNA (5.8S rRNA) is a component of the large subunit of the eukaryotic ribosome. The record is from RNAcentral. RNAcentral also lists the same sequence under 1 other name. Lineage: Eukaryota; Viridiplantae; Streptophyta; Magnoliopsida; Caryophyllales; Amaranthaceae.